This 220-nucleotide unclassified non-coding RNA is filed under the name Hevea brasiliensis (rubber tree). The record is from RNAcentral. Lineage: Eukaryota; Viridiplantae; Streptophyta; Magnoliopsida; Malpighiales; Euphorbiaceae.
AGAUAUGGAAAAUUUUCAAAACUUAUCUCAUUACUAAGAAUCCUAUUGGAAUACAGUUUUUCCCCAAUUAUAUUGUCUGGGCAAAAGUCAUUGGUACUAAUUUUCCUAAAUAGGUUUUAGUUGAUGAUAAGCAGGGAGAACCCAUAACAAUCAUGGCUUGCCUACAACAACAUCCUCUUUAACUGAUGUUGGCUGGGAGCUUCCUAACAUGAUUAAACAU